Ostrea edulis (European flat oyster) is the source of this 1182-nucleotide long non-coding RNA. RefSeq lists it as uncharacterized. The record is from RefSeq and is a predicted model, not a curated record. The transcript is spliced from 2 exons. NCBI's taxonomy places the organism in Eukaryota, Metazoa, Mollusca, Bivalvia, Ostreida, Ostreidae.
UGUGGGACUGUAAAUAGUACAGAAAAUCUUUAAAUUCAAAUUUUCUAUCAUUUUAGAUAAUUCAAAAAAUAUUUUCUCAGUGUUUACAUACACAAAUCAUAACCAAAAUAAGCAUCUGUACAUUGACAAGGACUAGUGUACAGCAAUUCUGAUUAGUUAUACUGCAAGGGAUGAACCUUCUAACAUCCAUAGAUGCAGCAAUUGUAUGCAUAAAAUUUUUAAGAUAUCAGCUCUUCUUCGAGUGGUAGAGACUAAAAUUAUCAUUGUAGACUGGUUAUGUAGAAAAUUUCGAAUGCGAUUUCCAUCAAUAUGGCAGACUGAGAAGAUUAAUAGAGGGCUCAUAUGUUUAAAAGGAAAAUAAAGAAAACUGAUAAAAAAUUAAACCAUACCUAUGAAACUUGGGAAUUUUUUUGGUCAAAAUGGUGUUAAUUCAAAUACAAGCGCGGGAACAUGUAUUUCUCCAUUUUGAAUCUCGUGUAUCCAAGUGUAUGUCAUUCUGAGAUCCAUAUAAGCAUGUUAACCAUAAUUUCUUAAUCAUAUACAAUCACUCCUCAACUAACGUGAUUGUAUGUUUGUAAAUUUGCUGAACACCGAUGCUGAGUAUGUCACAAUGCACGCUUUACAUCAAUUGUGUUAUAUUUCCAGCUUUCAAUGAAUAGACAGAUAUAAUCAGGGCUCGCGCUGCCCAUCGCAUUUGUCGCAUUUUGUGAUUUUUCAGAAAAAAAUGCGACAGAAAUUCCGGAAAUGCGACACGGACAUUUCAUAUUUUAGUAUUCGCGCGCCAUUUUGAAUUUCAGCUGUUGGCAUCCAAACAGCCUCAGGGCUGUUUUACUUGUGCAGAAUGUGGAUACCCUGUCGCAUGGGAACAAUAAGACUUCGGGGCAUCUUGUUUAUUUAGCAGUUUAAACAAAACAAAGGGUUGAUCCUCUAUGUACAGACUUCAUGAAGUCCCUUCUCCUCUACAUGAUGAGAUUCACCAAAGGACCACUUUGUCAUUCUGGAUUUCAAGAUGAAAACAGGAUUCUUCAGUGAAAAUGUGAUGUGAAACUAUGAUCAUGUGUUAUGUAUUACAAUAAUUAAUUUUCAGUAACUUUGUCAUCAGUGACUUUCUAGACUUUAAAUUUAAUGAGUAAUAUAUGUCAUUUACACCACUAAAAUGAUUAAUAAACAUUUAGAAACUCA